Molecule: ribosomal RNA, 253 nt
Filed under: uncultured bacterium
Lineage: Bacteria
Description: partial 16S ribosomal RNA
Rfam family: Bacterial small subunit ribosomal RNA
Source: RNAcentral
UACGAGGGGGGCAAGCGUUGUUCGGAUUCAUUGGGCGUAAAGGGCGCGUAGGUGGCGGCUUAAGCGUGCGGUGAAAGCUCGGGGCUCAACCCCGAGUCGGCCGUGCGAACUGAGUCGCUUGAGCACUGUAGAGGCAGGCGGAAUUCCUGGUGUAGCGGUGAAAUGCGCAGAUAUCAGGAAGAACACCCGUGGCUAAGGCGGCUCUCUAGUACGGUACUGACGCUGAGGAGCGAAAGCAUGGGGAGCGAACAGG